RNAcentral lists this long non-coding RNA (676 nucleotides) under Arabidopsis lyrata. RNAcentral describes it as "long non-coding RNA (ALYR_LNC000040)". Lineage: Eukaryota; Viridiplantae; Streptophyta; Magnoliopsida; Brassicales; Brassicaceae. The record is from RNAcentral.
AAUGCACAUGAACAGGAACAGAACCUGGGUAGGAUCAAGCAAUGAAGAUACCUUAUUAUUCGAGCCACACCGUAGAUCAACCAGAACCGGAAUUACAACAUCUUCACUGUAACCCAAACCCAUUACUUGCCGUUACGACCGCUUCCACAAACCCUCUAUCGAUACUCGAAACAACCAAAGAGAUUCCUCAGACGUAAGCCAAAACCUCUGCAAACAAGACUAAAUAGACAACUCUAAAAACCCGAUGAAGAAGAUGAACCAUGGAGCAGCAAACAAGAAGAUCUCGGCAAGAAUUGAGGCACCAAAAACAUAUCCGAACCCCAAACUCAAACAAAUCAGACCACCACCGCCGAUAUUACAGAGAGUCCACUAACCAAACCAGCACCACCUCCGUAACUCGGCCGAAAACACAAGCACAAGAGCUUCGACGUUGCUUCACUAUCAUCACUUCACGAAGAAGGUCACCAAAGAAACAAAUUGAAAAAAGAAAAGAAAUAAAGAAACUACAAGAGAGACAGAGAGGCUGAAUCCGGUGCUAGAAAAGCCACCCUGAUUCAGCCUCAGAUCGACAAUUUUUUUUUUAACUUCCGGCGGCUGUUUCUCGAGAGAGAAAGGAAAUUAGGUUUUGAGCCAAUUCUGUCACGGUAGGACUCUCCUAUAGGCUUGUUUUUAUUUU